This 71-nucleotide transfer RNA is filed under the name bacterium. Its description in RNAcentral is "tRNA-Gly". It matches the Rfam family "tRNA". Rfam says of the family: Transfer RNA (tRNA) molecules are approximately 80 nucleotides in length. The record is from RNAcentral.
GCGGAAUUGGUUUAGUGGUAGAACGCGACCUUCCCAAGGUUGAGACACGGGUUCGAUUCCCGUAUUCCGCA